Long non-coding RNA from Cimex lectularius (bed bug), 685 nucleotides. RefSeq lists it as uncharacterized. The record is from RefSeq and is a predicted model, not a curated record. Lineage: Eukaryota; Metazoa; Arthropoda; Insecta; Hemiptera; Cimicidae. The transcript is spliced from 4 exons.
UCUACGUAGCAACAGCAGCAACAGAGAGGGGCAGAUUUCAAUGUCAAGGUGGAAGCUCACGGCCAAGGACUUUGGAAGUGGGGGCCCGCAUUGCAGUCACUCUUUGACCAUCUCACCGACAACAUCAGAGUUGUACUUUACGACGUCAGAAGUUGGAAAAAGCCCAUUAAACAAGAUCCUUUACACGGAUGAUACCAGAUGGACAGUUCGUAUUGAGCCCUGAUACGACACACGGCGAAGCGGUGAUAAAGAGUGAGUACGAACAUUUCGCCUUAUCGUUGAAAGCCACUUCCACUCCGACCGGAAAGUAUUGCUGGUUUUAAUCUAACGCGCUUCGCAAGACGGGGGGUCCGCCGAUCCCUCUUCCUGUCGAUAUGCGCAUCCAAUUUUGAUUAUAUUUAUCGACUGGAGUCACUAACGAAAAUGGGAAAACUUUAUGAGAACGGUUCCUGAACAUAACAUUCCGAGACAGAACUGUUCGCUUAUAUUCCCAACAUGAAUUUGAAUUGCAAGUUAAGAAAAUUAAAUUUUUUUUCAUUUAGUCAGAUAAUAUUUCCGAAAGCAAUAUAUUUUGGUCUUAUAAAAAUGGUUUAUUUUUAAUUAGUACAUAUUGAAUUGCAUGUUCAAACGAAUAAUUCGUUAAAUUUUACAACAUAAAAGAAAUUAUCAAGCUUUCAUUUUUGGC